CCUACGGGCGGCAGCAGUGAGGAAUAUUGGUCAAUGGACGAGAGUCUGAACCAGCCAAGUAGCGUGAAGGAUGACUGCCCUAUGGGUUGUAAACUUCUUUUAUAUGGGAAUAAAACGUUCCACGUGUGGGAUUUUGUAUGUACCAUAUGAAUAAGUAUCGGCUAACGCCGUGCCAGCAGCCGCGGUAAUACGGAGGAUCCGAGCGUUAUCCGGAUUUAUUGGGUUUAAAGGGAGCGUAGGUGGAUUGUUAAGUCAGUUGUGAAAGUUUGCGGCUCAACCGUAAAAUUGCAGUUGAAACUGGCAGUCUUGAGUACAGUAGAGGUGGGCGGAAUUCGUGGUGUAGCGGUGAAAUGCUUAGAUAUCACGAAGAACUCCGAUUGCGAAGGCAGUUCACUGGACUGCAACUGACACUGAGGCUCGAAAGUGUGGGUAUCAAACAGGAUUAGAUACCCUUGUAGUC
RNAcentral lists this ribosomal RNA (460 nucleotides) under uncultured bacterium. RNAcentral describes it as "partial 16S ribosomal RNA". It matches the Rfam family "Bacterial small subunit ribosomal RNA", at positions 338 to 795 of the family's 1533-position model. The record is from RNAcentral.